Molecule: ribosomal RNA, 465 nt
Filed under: uncultured bacterium
Lineage: Bacteria
Description: bacterial SSU rRNA
Rfam family: Bacterial small subunit ribosomal RNA
Source: RNAcentral
CCUACGGGGCGCACCAGUGGGGAAUAUUGCACAAUGGGCGCAAGCCUGAUGCAGCCGUGCCGCGUGUAUGAAGAAGGCCUUCGGGUUGUAAAGUACUUUCAGCGGGGAGGAAGGUGUUGAGGUUAAUAACCUCAGCAAUUGACGUCACCCGCAGAAGAAGCACCGGCUAACUCCGUGCCAGCAGCCGCGGUAAUACGGAGGGUGCAAGCGUUAAUCGGAAUUACUGGGCGUAAAGCGCACGCAGGCGGUCUGUCGAGUCGGAUGUGAAAUCCCCGGGCUCAACCUGGGAACUGCAUUCGAAACUGGCAGGCUAGAGUCUUGUAGAGGGGGGUAGAAUUCCAGGUGUAGCGGUGAAAUGCGUAGAGAUCUGGAGGAAUACCGGUGGCGAAGGCGGCCCCCUGGACAAAGACUGACGCUCAGGUGCGAAAGCGUGGGGAGCAAACAGGAUUAGAUACCCUCGUAGUC